Molecule: unclassified non-coding RNA, 260 nt
Filed under: Hevea brasiliensis (rubber tree)
Lineage: Eukaryota; Viridiplantae; Streptophyta; Magnoliopsida; Malpighiales; Euphorbiaceae
Source: RNAcentral
AAGUUCUAUAGAACUGUGGUCAAGUCAGCAAUGUUGCAUGGGAGUGCAUGUUGGGCAUCUAAGAUACAACAUAUUCACAAGAUGAAUGUGGCAAAGAUGUGAAUGUUUAGAUAGAUGUCUGGUAUUACAAUGAUGGAUAAAAUUAGAAAUGACCACAUUCACUAGCAUGCAUAUAGCACACAUUAGGAAUAAAAUGAGAAAGUAUCAAUUAAGAGGGAUCCAUAUAGCCAACCCCCAACUAAUUUGGAAUUAAGGCUUAG